Non-coding RNA from Trichobilharzia regenti, 46 nucleotides. The record is from Rfam. Lineage: Eukaryota; Metazoa; Platyhelminthes; Trematoda; Strigeidida; Schistosomatidae.
GUACUGCUGAAGAGUCCCCGACUAGGACGAAACAGCUGUCCAGCAC